Molecule: ribosomal RNA, 354 nt
Filed under: uncultured bacterium
Lineage: Bacteria
Description: bacterial SSU rRNA
Rfam family: Bacterial small subunit ribosomal RNA
Source: RNAcentral
AGAGUUUGAUCAUGGCUCAGGAUGAACGCUAGCUACAGGCUUAACACAUGCAAGUCGAGGGGAAACGACAUCGAAAGCUUGCUUUUGAUGGGCGUCGACCGGCGCACGGGUGAGUAACGCGUAUCCAACCUGCCCAUCACUUGGGGAUAACCUUGCGAAAGUAAGACUAAUACCCAAUGACGUCUCUAGAAGACAUCUGAAAGAGAUUAAAGAUUUAUCGGUGAUGGAUGGGGAUGCGUCUGAUUAGCGUUGUUGGCGGGGUAACGGCCACCAAGGCGACGAUCAGUAGGGGUUCUGAGAGGAAGGUCCCCCANAUUGGAACUGACGACACGGUCCAAACUCCUACGGGAGGCA